This 27-nucleotide small RNA is filed under the name Bombyx mori (domestic silkworm). Its description in RNAcentral is "ovarian small RNA-36666". Lineage: Eukaryota; Metazoa; Arthropoda; Insecta; Lepidoptera; Bombycidae. The record is from RNAcentral.
UUACUUCUAAUGCAGUCGGUGCUGACA